RNAcentral lists this ribosomal RNA (484 nucleotides) under uncultured bacterium. RNAcentral describes it as "partial 16S ribosomal RNA". It matches the Rfam family "Bacterial small subunit ribosomal RNA", at positions 28 to 507 of the family's 1533-position model. The record is from RNAcentral.
GUUGAACGCUGGCGGCGGGCUUAACACAUGCAAGUCGAACGGAUGAGGCGAGCUUUCGUCUGGUUUUAGCGUCGGGCGCGGGUGUAAUACCCAUGAGUCUCCCUGGCUUUACUUUAGGACAACCUUAGGCGAGCGGGAAUAAUACAUGCGUCCUGAUUCUGCAGGAUGGGGGUGGUCGGACAGUACGCUCGGAGGUGACCCUAGGUCGGGCUAGCUAGUUGGUUGGGUAAGUGGCUACCUAGGCGACGAUCCGUGGCUGGACUGAGAGGAUGAUUGAUCACACUGGAACUGAGACACGGUCCAGACUCCUACGGGAGGCAGCAGUGGGGAAUAUUGGGCAAUGGGCGAAAGCAUGAUCCAGCCAUGCCGCGUGUGUGACGAAGGUCUUCGGAUUGUAAAGCACUUUAAGUUGGGAGGAAGGGCAGUAAGUUAAUACCUUGCUGUUUUGACGUUACCAACAGAAUAAGCACCGGCUAACUUCGUG